CCUACGGGAGGCAGCAGUAGGGAAUCUUCCGCAAUGGACGAAAGUCUGACGGAGCAACGCCGCGUGAACGAUGAAGGCCUUCGGGUCGUAAAGUUCUGUUGUUAGGGAAGAACAAGUGCUAGUUGAAUAAGCUGGCACCUUGACGGUACCUAACCAGAAAGCCACGGCUAACUACGUGCCAGCAGCCGCGGUAAUACGUAGGUGGCAAGCGUUGUCCGGAAUUAUUGGGCGUAAAGCGCGCGCAGGCGGUUUCUUAAGUCUGAUGUGAAAGCCCCCGGCUCAACCGGGGAGGGUCAUUGGAAACUGGGAAACUUGAGUGCAGAAGAGGAAAGUGGAAUUCCAAGUGUAGCGGUGAAAUGCGUAGAGAUUUGGAGGAACACUAGUGGCGAAGGCGACUUUCUGGUCUGUAACUGACGCUGAGGCGCGAAAGCGUGGGGAGCAAACAGGAUUAGAUACCCUGGUAGUCCACGCUGUAAACGAUGAGUGCUAAGUGUUAGAGGGUUUCCGCCCUUUAGUGCUGAAGUUAACGCAUUAAGCACUCCGCCUGGGGGAUACGGUCGCAGGACUGAAACUCAAAGGAAUUGACGG
Molecule: ribosomal RNA, 588 nt
Filed under: uncultured bacterium
Lineage: Bacteria
Description: bacterial SSU rRNA
Rfam family: Bacterial small subunit ribosomal RNA
Source: RNAcentral